Molecule: long non-coding RNA, 1979 nt
Organism: Mytilus californianus (California mussel)
Lineage: Eukaryota; Metazoa; Mollusca; Bivalvia; Mytilida; Mytilidae
Exons: 3
Source: RefSeq, a predicted model, not a curated record
AAGGAAUGAUGAGUGAACCAUUUAAGAUAAGAGAACGUCCGUCGACUUGAUCAAGAAUCAAAACGAAGUGUAAAAUAACGAUUUGGUAAACAGAUGAUAAUUCAAAUAUAAGGAAUAAUGGCAAGUAACUGGAGUGUUUGCGGGGUCUGUGAUUAUCGCCACAUUACAAAACCAUCAGUUGUCUGGUGUUCAGAGUGUGAUGAAGGGCUCUGUGAAGAUGGAAAGACCAUCAUGGUAUUUCAAAAGGAUCAAGAAAUCAUGAAACCGUAUCUAUUGCAGAGUAUCAGAAACUGCCAAACAAAGUAUUACAAUUGGCACGUUCUUGUGCUAAGCACAAUGAGAAAUACGUGCUGUUCUGUAAAAAGCAUGACUGUCCGUGCUGCAAGAAAUGUGUAGUUGAAUCACACAAGGAAUGUAAAGAAUUGACCGAUAUCGAUGAUAAAACACGAAACAUCAAAUCUUCAAAUGCUUUUGCAGACAUCGAACAGACCUUAUCAGAAAUUGCAGAGAAUAUUAAAAGACUUCGAAUCAACCGGGAAGACAAUUUGGCGUCAAUCGGGAAAAAGAGUAGAGAAAUUGAAAAAGAGGUUCUAGAAACUCGUGCUAGGAUUAAUCUUCAUCUAGAUAAACUUCAGGAUGCUGUAUUGAAAGAACUGAAAACGAGGGAAGAAGAAGAAAGUAACAAAAUCCGACGACUUCUUAAGUCCUUAAUAGACAAGGAAAAAGAGAUCACAGAUAACCAAACAAAUAUUGGUAAUAUCAAGCAGUACGCUUCAGACCUGCAAACUUUCCUCGUUUUGAAACACAUAGAAAAAGAUGUCGUAGCAAAAGAACAGUACAUUCAAUCAAUAGUCAAAAGUGAUGGUGCGAAUCAAAUUGACUUGUCGUGCAAGAUUAAUUCCUCCUUGCAAGGUUUGAUAGCUGCCAUUAAAAAAUUUGGAGAUGUCACGAUGAUAGCAGAUUCAUGUAAUAUAUCCAAUCAGAAACAAAAGGACAAACAAGCUCAGAUGGUGGUAGCUUUACCACCUAUGACUAUCGAUAGCCUGACACCUACAUUGGUGCAGACAUUUGACACAAAGUUGGCGGCUGUCUGGGGAUGUACGCUUUUGCCUGAUUGUAGAAAGGUAAUUUCAUGCUUUGCACACAGAAUUAUUAAAGUUUUUAAGCUAGAUGGAUCUCUGGAUUUUAAGAUUGGAAACUUCGGUCCUAUAUUCGAUGUGGUGUACAUAGGAGAUAAUUCACUUGCUGUGACUUCUGGUUACAGAAGUGAUUCCCUUCAAAUUAAUUUGUUGGACUUAAAAACAAGGAAAGUAAAGAAAAAAUUGAAAGUGAAUUCAGUAAACUCUGGAGUAGCAUACAGUGAAGACAAGUUGAUUUAUUGUGCUGGAAAGAAAGGAAUACAAAUGAUCAACCUUUAUAAUGAAUCCAUUGUAAAUGUUACUAAAACCGAAGUAACUGAAUUUUCGUAUGUUGCAACAUUGGGAGACAUUAUAUUCUAUACAGACUGUAACGACGGUAGUGUAACCUGCAUUGACUUUCAAGUAAAUAUACAAUGGGUUUUUAAAAAUACUAGUGUUCUUAAUAACACUUUGGGUAUAUCUGUAGAUAGAGAUGGAAAUGUUUACGUGGUAGGAAGAGAUUCGAACAAUGUAGUUGUUAUCUCUCCCAACGGACAAAACUAUAGAGAGCUUCUAACUAGUGAUAAUGGAAUACAUGCGCCAACAGUAAUACACAUUGACAGAUUAGGUAAUAAAAUGCUAGUCACAAGUACAGCGGAAAAAGCGUUCGUAUAUACUCUCACAGUAGUUUGACAAAGUUCUAUUGAUGUCAGUACCGUUAGAGUCAGUGCUUCUAUGAGGUUAAUCAAUAUUUAAAAUGGAAAAAGAGAUUAUUCCUAUGAAACAUUUAAAAAUAAAUUGUAUUGUUUCAUAUUUGAUUAAAUAAAGUAUUUAUCCAUUAACAUUUUGGGCACAAUAUAA